GACGUAGGGAGCGAGCGUUGUCCGGAAUUACUGGGCGUAAAGAGCUCGUAGGCGGGACCGUAAGUCCGAGAGGAAAUCUCAAGGCUCAACUUUGGGGCUUUCUUGGAUACUGCGGUUCUUGAGGAUGAGAGAGGUAAGUAGAAUUCCCCGGUGUAGCGGUGAAAUGCGUAGAUAUCGGGAGGAAUACCAGUGGCGAAGGCGGCUUACUGGCUCAUUCCUGACGCUGAGGAGCGAAAGCGUGGGGAGCAAACGGG
RNAcentral lists this ribosomal RNA (254 nucleotides) under uncultured bacterium. RNAcentral describes it as "partial 16S ribosomal RNA". It matches the Rfam family "Bacterial small subunit ribosomal RNA", at positions 524 to 776 of the family's 1533-position model. The record is from RNAcentral.